GGUGGAGCGAUUUGUCUGGUUUAUUCCGAUAACGAACGAGACUCUGGCCUACUAAAUAGUGACGGGAUUAUUACUGUCCCGGAUACUUCUUAGAGGGACAAGUGGUUUUCAGCCACACGAAAUUGAGCAAUAACAGGUCUGUGAUGCCCUUAGAUGUCCGGGGCUGCACGCGCGCUACACUGAAGGAAUCAGCGUGCUAAAACCAUUGUCGAAAGGCAUUGGUAAACCCAUUAAAAUCCUACGUGAUUGGGAUCGGGAAUUGCAAUUAUUUCCCUUGAACGAGGAAUUCCCAGUAAGUGUGGGUCAUCAGCUCGCGUUGAAUACGUCCCUGCCCUUUGUAC
Molecule: ribosomal RNA, 341 nt
Filed under: Nematoda environmental sample
Lineage: Eukaryota; Metazoa; Nematoda
Description: SSU rRNA
Rfam family: Eukaryotic small subunit ribosomal RNA
Source: RNAcentral